GCCUAUCAGAUGGAGACAGCAAAGCAUUGGGUUUACUUGUCAAGGCUGCAAGAAUUGUGGAUGAAAUCUUUUACCUGCAGGUUUGGUACAGCAAUCCAGCUCUAAGGGAUUGGUUGAAAGAGCAUGCUGAUGCAUCAGAAUUGGAUAAGCUCAAAUGGAUGUAUUAUUCGAUUAAUAAGAGUCCAUGGUCCUGCCUUGAUGAAAAUAAGCCAUUUUUGACAACAGCAGAUUCAGCCGUACAGUUGCUUCCUGAAGCCACCAAGCCCAUUAGUGGAUGGAAGGG
Molecule: unclassified non-coding RNA, 283 nt
Filed under: Hevea brasiliensis (rubber tree)
Lineage: Eukaryota; Viridiplantae; Streptophyta; Magnoliopsida; Malpighiales; Euphorbiaceae
Source: RNAcentral